This is a non-coding RNA of Jatropha curcas, 96 nucleotides long. The record is from Rfam. NCBI's taxonomy places the organism in Eukaryota, Viridiplantae, Streptophyta, Magnoliopsida, Malpighiales, Euphorbiaceae.
AUGGAGGUGAUGAAUAUUUCCCCAAAUGAUCGACGCUGAAUAAACUGAGCGAUUGUUAAAUCUCUUGUGAGAUUCCAAGCCAGAAUUCUGAUCCAU